UCCUGAAGUUGUGAGACAGAAGGUUCCCA
Molecule: non-coding RNA, 29 nt
Filed under: Mus musculus (house mouse)
Lineage: Eukaryota; Metazoa; Chordata; Mammalia; Rodentia; Muridae
Source: RNAcentral